GCCUCUGCUUCCCCCGCGGCGCCUAGGGAGGGAGGGGUCGCGGGGUUUUGCAGAGGACU
MicroRNA precursor from Bos taurus (domestic cattle), 59 nucleotides. NCBI's taxonomy places the organism in Eukaryota, Metazoa, Chordata, Mammalia, Artiodactyla, Bovidae. The record is from Ensembl.